AAAUACAUCAUCACAAUGUACCACAGCCCCUAAAACCUAAUGGUGCUGUCAGAGCUCACUGCUGAACUUUGGUCCCCAGAAGGUGGGAGCUUCCCUCCUUGGAAGGAGCCCUUCCAAAAGCUGCCUCUGAGUUGCUAAGAAACAGCUUGUCACUGUGACAUGGGCUGUAGGCAGUUCUGUACAGCAGGCACUCAGAGAAUGGACAUGGGAAGUGCCAUGGAAAAUUGGAAAGAGACACUAAACAGCACAGAUGCAAGCUAUCUCCCAAUGUGUCAAUAUCUUAUUGGCAAGGAAGCAUGCAGCCCCAGAGCUGGAAUGGAGACCCCGUUUCCAGCCCCGGUAUCGUGUGAUUAUGUUACAGCAAAAAACCAUCUGAUCAAAUAACUCCUGAUUGAAAAGACAGGCUGUGACAGUCUGAUCUGAACACACCUUCAUUUCAGAAAUAACUAUCAGCUUCCACCUCCCUGCUGCUGGGUGAACUCUUUUGCUUGAGGUCUCUCUGCCACAGCCACAGCUUUGGCUUCUCUGUCAUUCUGGAAGCCUCAUGUUUGGAGCUGUCACGGAGUAAUUCGGUACCAGAAUCUGGUGGAUAUUUCUGCUUCUGGGCUUGUUAAGCCAUUUGUGCCUUGUCCAAAGAACUUCUAGAAUCCCUCACUUUUAAGCUCUUCAUCCAUCAUUGUGCAAAUGUUGGCAUUAUAAAACAGGGUCCAAGCAA
Parus major (Great Tit) is the source of this 715-nucleotide long non-coding RNA. RefSeq lists it as uncharacterized. NCBI's taxonomy places the organism in Eukaryota, Metazoa, Chordata, Aves, Passeriformes, Paridae. The record is from RefSeq and is a predicted model, not a curated record. The transcript is spliced from 5 exons.